UGUAGCUAUCAUAACCUUGCUAAAACAUGCAGGGUUUUAUCUACUGGGGGGGGGGUGGGGGGAAGGUUCUACCCCAAACUCAAUAUCUUCCCCCCCAAAAUUUUAAUGAAAAUUUACAUAAAGUGUACAUAAAGUGUACAUGAUUGCUCUGUAAAUUACAAAUUUAUUGAAUAGAACCCUG
Long non-coding RNA from Amphimedon queenslandica, 181 nucleotides. RefSeq lists it as uncharacterized. NCBI's taxonomy places the organism in Eukaryota, Metazoa, Porifera, Demospongiae, Haplosclerida, Niphatidae. The transcript is spliced from 3 exons. The record is from RefSeq and is a predicted model, not a curated record.